RNAcentral lists this ribosomal RNA (434 nucleotides) under uncultured bacterium. RNAcentral describes it as "partial 16S ribosomal RNA". It matches the Rfam family "Bacterial small subunit ribosomal RNA", at positions 29 to 507 of the family's 1533-position model. The record is from RNAcentral.
AGCGAACGCUGGCGGCAGGCCUAACACAUGCAAGUCGAACGAACCUUUCGGGGUUAGUGGCGGACGGGGGAGUAACACGUGGGAACGUGCCUUUAGGUUCGGAAUAACUCAGGGAAACUUGUGCUAAUACCGAAUGGGCCCUUCGGGGGAAAGAUUUAUCGCCUUUAGAGCGGCCCGCGUCUGAUUAGCUAGUUGGUUGAGGUAAUGGCUCACCAAGGCGACGAGCAGUAGCUGGUCUGGGAGGAUGAUCAGCCACAUUGGGACUGAGACACGGCCCAAACUCCUACGUGAGGCAGCAGUGGGGAAUCUUGCGCAAUGGGCGAAAGCCUGACGCAGCCAUGCCGCGUGAAUGAUGAAGGUCUUAGGAUUGUAAAAUUCUUUCACCGGGGACGAUAAUGACGGUACCCGGAGAAGAAGCCCCGGCUAACUUCGUG